GCUGGAGGCGCGCGAAACACAAAGAUGGUGCAGACCCAGGCCCUGCUUUGACUGGGAGAAAGAUGCAUUCAGUUGACUAAAACUUGAAUGUCAGGAGAAUUCAGUCACACCCAAAGCAGGAGGUAAUAAGACACCGAAGUGAGGACUUCACAGGCUGCUUGGGAGAAGACAAUCAUCCGUGGGCUUGGGAAAGGGAGAAAUGCCUACUGAGUUUAGGGAAUUGCUUGCUGGAAGAAAUGAUGAUGCGGGAGGCCAGAUGCGCAAGAUGGACACUCGGCUCCUCCUUCGUCCCCGCCUCUCCUCGCUUCCAGGGUAGCAGCCUCAACAAGGGAAACUAUUGUUCCAGUGGAGGCUGCGAGGAUGUCGGUGAUUUACGCGCCGAGCUGUAGCUGCAAAAGGACAAGGGCAAGUGCCGGCCCGACCUAGGUGCACCCUGCCCGCUUGUGGUGGCCUCAGGGGUAAGAAAUCAGGACCCACCCAGUGAGAGAAAUAACCCAAGCUGUCAGCAACGCGGAAAGAAAUGGGCUAGCAACCUCUUAAAGCAUCCUCACGUACUGCGGCGAUGACUCUGUGCACAGACCAAGGAAGGAGAGAGGCCGCGGAAGUCAGAGUCUCACUCUGUCAAUCUUGGCUGGAGUGCAAUGGCACAAUCUCGGCUCACUACAACCUCUGCCUCCUGGGUCCAAGUGAUUCUUCUGCCUCAGCAUCCCAAGUACCUGGGAAUACAGGUGCCCACCACCAUGACUGGCUAAUUUUUGUGUUUUUAGUAGAGAUGGGGUUAGCCAGGCUGGUCUGUAAUUCCUGACCUCAGGUGAUAUUCCUGCAUUGGCCUCCCAAAGUGCUGGGAUUACAGGCAUGAGCCACUGCACCCGGUGGACAUCAUGCUUUUGUGGUUACUUUUGCUUUGUAAUAAUUUUUGAAAUCAUAUAUUUAUAGCCCUCUAACUUUGUUCUUCAUUUUCAGUGCUGUUUUUACUAGUCUAGGCCCUUUGUAUUUCUCUGUGACUUUUACAAUCAACUUACCAAUUUCUACAAAAAAGGCUUCUGGAAUUUUUUUUUUUUAAUUAUACUUUAACUUUUAGGGUACAUGUGCACAUUGUGCAGGUUAGUUACAUAUGUAUACAUGCACCAUGCUGGUGCGCUGCACCCACUAACUCGUCAUCUAGCAUUAGGUUGUUGAAUUUCGUCAAAGGCCUUUUCUGCAUCUAUUGAGAUAAUCAUGUGGUUUUUGUCUUUGGCUCUGUUUAUAUGCUGGAUUACCUUUAUUGAUUUGCGUAUAUUGAACCAGCCUUGCCUCCCAGGGAUGAAGCCCACCUGAUCAUGGUGGAUCAGCUUUUUGAUGUGCUGCUGGAUUCGUUUUGCCAGUAUUUUAUUGAGGAUUUUUGCAUCAAUGUUCAUCAAGGAUAUUGGUCUAAAAUUCUCUUUUUUUGUUGUGUCUCUGCCUGGCUUUGGUAUCAGGAUGAUGCUGGCCUCAUAAAAUGAGUUAGGGAGGAUUCCCUCUUUUCUAUUGAUUGGAAUAGUUUCAGAAGGAAUGGUACCAGUUCUUCCUUGUACCUCUGGUAGAAUUUGGCUGUGAAUCCAUCUGGUCCUGGACUGUUUUUGGUUGGUAAGCUAUUGAUUAUUGCCACAAUUUCAGAUCCUGUUAUUGGUCUAUUCAGAGAUUCAACUUCUUCCUGGUUUAGUCUUGGGAGAGCGUAUGUGUCGAGGAAUUUAUACAUUUCUUCUAGAUUUUCUAGUUUAUUUGUGUAGAGGUUUCUAUAGUAUUCUCUGAUGGUAGUUUGUAUUUCUGUGGGAUCGGUGGUGAUAUCCCCUUUAUCAUUUUUUAUUGCGUCUAUUUGAUUCUUCUCUCUUUUUUUCUUUCUUAGUCUUGCUAGCGGUCUAUCAAUUUUGAUGAUCCUUUCAAAAAACCAGCUCCUGGAUGCAUUAAUUUUUUGAAGGGUUUUUUGUGUCUCUAUUUCCUUCAGUUCUGCUCUGAUUUUAGAUAUUUCUUGCCUUCUGCUAGCUUUUGAAUGUGUUUGCUCUUGCUUUUCUAGUUCUUUUAAUUGUGAUGUUAGGGUGUCAAUUUUGGAUCUUUCCUGCUUUCUCUUGUGGGCAUUUAGUGCUAUAAAUUUCCCUCUGCACACUGCUUUGAAUGUGUCCGAGAGAUUCUUGUAUGUUGUGUGUUUGUUCUCGCUGGUUUCAAAGAAUAUCUUUUUUCUGCCUUCAUUUCGUUAUGUACCCAGUAGUCAUUCAGGAGCAGGUUGUUCAGUUUCCAUGUAGUUGAGCGGUUUAGAGUGAGUUUCUUAAUCCCGAGUUCUAGUUUGAUUGCACUGUGGUCUGAGAGAUAGUUUGUUAUAAUUUCUGUUCUUUUACAUUUGCUGAGGAGAGCUUUACUUCCAAGUAUGUGGUCAAUUUUGGAAUAGGUGUGGUGUGGUGCUCAAAAAAAUGUAUAUUCUGUUGAUUUCGGGUGCAGAGUUCUGUAGAUGUCUAUUAGGUCCACUUGGUGCAGAGCUGAGUUUAAUUCCUGGGUAUCCUUGUUGACUUUCUGUCUCAUUGAUCUGUCUAAUGUUGACAGUGGGGUGUUAAAGUCUCCCAUUAUUAAUGUGUGGGAGUCUAAGUCUCUUUGUAGGUCACUCAGGACUUGCUUUAUGAAUCUUGGUGCUCCUGUAUUGGGUGCAUAUAUAUUUAGGAUAGUUAGCUCUUCUUGUUGAAUUGAUCCCUUUACCAUUAUGUAAUGGCCUUCUUUGUCUCUUUUGAUCUUUGUUGGUUUAAAGUCUGUUUUAUUAGACUAGGAUUGCAACCCCUGCCUUUUUUGUUUUUCAUUUUUUUGGUAGAUCUUCCUCCAUCCUUUUAUUUUGAGCCUAUGUGUGUCUCUGCACGUGAGAUGGGUGUCCUGAAUACAGCACACUGAUGGGUCUUGACUCUUUAUCCAAUUUGCCAGUCUGUGUCUUUUAAUUGGAGCAUUUAGUCCAUUUACAUUUAAAGUUAAUAUUGUUAUGUGUGAAUUUGAUCCUGUCAUUAUGAUGUUAGCUGGUUAUUUUGCUCGUUAGUUGAUGCAGUUUCUUCCUAGUCGCGAUGGUCUUUACAUUUUGGCAUGAUUUUGCAGCAGCUGGUACCGGUUGUUCCUUUCCAUGUUUAGCGCUUCCUUCAGGAGCUCUUUUAGGGCAGGCCUGGUGGUGACAAAAUCUCUCAGCAUUUGCUUGUCUGUAAAGUAUUUUAUUUCUUCUUUGCUUAUGAAGCUUAGUUUGGCUGGAUAUGAAAUUCUAGGUUGAAAAUUCUUUUCUUUAAGAAUGUUGAAUAUUGGCCCCCACUCUCUUCUGGCUUGUAGGGUUUCUGCUGAGAGAUCCGCUGUUAGUCUGAUGGCCUUCCCUUUGAGGGUAACCUGACCUUUCUCUCUGGCUGCCCUUAACAUUUUUUCCUUCAUUUCAACUUUGGUGAAUCUGACAAUUAUGUGUCUUGGAGUUGCUCUUCUUGAGGAGUAUCUUCGUGGUGUUCUCUGUAUUUCCUGAAUCUGAACAUUGGUCUGCGUUGCUAGACUGGGGAAGUUCUCCUGGAUAAUAUCCUGCAGCGUGUUUUCCAACUUGGUUCCAUUCUCCCCAUCACUUUCAGGUACACCAAUCAGACGUAGAUUUGGUCUUUUCACAUAGUCCCAUAUUUCUUGGAGGCUUUGUUCAUUUCUUUUUAUUCUUUUUUCUCUAAACUUCCCUUCUCACUUCAUUUCAUUCAUUUCGUCUUCCAUCGCUGAUACCCUUUCUUCCAGUUGAUCGCAUUGACUCCUGAGGCUUCUGCAUUCUUCACAUAGUUUUCGAGCCUUGGUUUUCAGCUCCAUCAGCUCCUUUAAGCACUUCUCUGUAUUGGUUAUUCUAGUUAUACAUUCUUCUAAAUUUUUUUCAAAGUUUUCAACUUCUUUGCCUUUGGUUUGAAUGUCCUCCCGUAGCUCAGAGUAAUUUGAUGGUCUGAAGCCUUCUUCUCUCAGCUCGUCAAAGUCAUUCUCCAUCCAGCUUUGUUCCGUUGCUGGUGAGGAACUGCGUUCCUUUGGAGGAGGAGAGGCACUCUUCUUUUUAGAGUUUCCAGUUUUUCUGUUCUGUUUUUUCCCCAUCUUUGUGGUUUUAUCUUCUUUUGGUCUUUGAUGAUGGUGAUGUACAGAUGGGUUUUUGGUGUGGAUGUCCUUCCUGUUUGUUAGUUUUCCUUCUAACAGACAGGACCCUCAGCUGCAGGUCUGUUGGAGUACCCAGCCGUGUGAGGUGUCAGUGUGCCCCUGCUGGGGGGUGCCUCCCAGUUAGGCUGCUCGGGGGUCAGGGGUCAGGGACCUACUUGAGGAGGCAGUCUUCCCAUUCUCAGAUCUCCAGCUGCGUACUGGGAGAACCACUGCUCUCUUCAAAGCUGUCAGACAGGGACAUUUAAGUCUGCAGAGGUUACUGCUGUCUUUUUGUUUGUCUAUGCCCUGUCCCCAGAGGUAGAGCCUACAGAGGCAGGCAGGCCUCCUUGAGCUGUGGUGGGCUCCACCCAGUUCGAGCUUCCCAGCUGCUUAGUUUACCUAAUCAAGCCUGGGCAAUGGCGGGCGCCCCUCCCCCAGCCUGGCUGCAGCCUUGCAGUUUGAUCUCAGACUGCUGUGCUAGCAAUCAGCGAGACUCUGUGGGCGUAGGACCCUCCGAGCCAGGUGUGGGAUAUAUCUCGUGGUGCUCCGUUUUUUAAGCCCGUCGGAAAAGCGCAGUAUUCGGGUGGGAGUGACCUGAUUUUCCAGGUGCUGUCUGUAAGCCCUUUCUUUUACUCGGAAAAGGAACUCCCUGACCCCUUGCGCUUCCCGAGUGAGGCAAUGCCUCGCCCUGCUUCGGCUCGCUCAGGGUGCGUGCACCCACUGACCUGUGCCCACUGUCUGGCAUUCCCUAGUGAGAUGAGCCCGGUACCUCAGAUGGAAAUGCAGAAAUCACUCGUCUUCUGCAUCGCUCACGCUGGGAGCUGUAGACUGGAGCUGUUCCUAUUUGGCCAUCUUGGCUCCUGCGGCUUCUGGAAUUUUUAAUGCAAUUGCAUUGAAUCUGUAAAUCAAUUUGGCAGAGAACUGACGCUUUAAUUAUAUUGAAUCAUUUGACUCAUAUGAGAUAUAAUUCUCCCUUUUAAAUUUUUUCUCAAUAGUGUUUUGUUGUUUCUUUCAGGGUUACUUGUCUUUUAUCUCUGCUUUUAAGAUUUUCUUUUUGUUACUGGUUUUAAGCAAUUUGGUUAUGAUGUGCCUGUGUGUAAUUUUCUUCAUGUUCCUUAUGCUUGAGUUUCAUUUAACAUUUUGAAUCUGUAGGAUAUAAUUUUCAUUAAAUAUAGAAAAAGUUUAGCCUUCAUUUCUUCAAAUAUUUUUUCUUUUCUCUCCAGUGUCAAGGAUUCCGGUUAUAGUUAGACCAUUUGAGGUUGUCACCCAAUUCAAUGAUGUUUUUAAAUUUUUAUUUUUAAUUAUUUUUUCCUAUUGUAUUUUGUGCAUUUCUAUUGCUGUGUCUUCAGAUUUACUAUUCUUUCCUACCACAGUGCCUGUUCUACUGUGUGUUAGUUCUCACACUGCUAAUAAAAACACACCCGAGACUGGGUAAUUUAUAAAGGCAAGAAAUUUAAUUCACUCACAGUUCAAUAUGGCUGAGGAGUCUUAAGGAAACUUACAAGCAUGGUGGAAGGGGAAACAAACACAUCCUUCUUCACAUGGUGUCAGCAAGAAGUGCUUUUUUACUCCAAAGGGGGAAAGACCCUUAGAAAGCCAUCAGAUCUCCUGAGAACUCACUAUCAUGAGAACAUGAUGGUGUAACUGCCCCCAUGAUUUAAGUACUUCCUACCAAUACUUGAAUAUUUUUUCUUCCUUCCCAGGACAUGUGGGGAUUUGGGGAACCACAAUUCAAAAUAAGAUUUGGGUGCAGAUACAGCCAAAGCAUAUCAUACUGUUAAUUCCAUUUGUUGUAUUUUUUACUCCAAGCAUUGUUGUAUUUGUGUCUGGAAGUUUGAUUUGGAUCUUCCUUGUAUUCUUCAUGUCUCUUAGCUUUCUGAUCGUGGGUAUACAGUUUUCUUAGUUGUUUUCAUGUCUGUGUCUGCUAGUGAUAACACUUGUGAGUCAGUUUUGAUUGAAUGGUUUUUUCUCCUCAUAUGGGUCCUGUCUUCUUGCCUCUUUGCAUAUCUAUUAAGUAUACUCAUAAGUAGAAGGAAUGAACAAAUUCUUUUGAAACUAUAAAGUAUAACAAUUCAAUCAAAAUGGAAUAGACAAAAUGAAUAGUCCUAUAGCCAGUAAAGAAGCUGAAUUAGUAAUUGAAAAGCUCUAGGAAGGAAAUGUCUAGGUGCAGAUAUUUUCACUGGAGAAUUCCUCAAAACCUUUAAAAAAGACUUACCAUCAACUUCACACAGUUGUUUCCAGAAAAUAAUUGAGAAUGGGACACAACCCAAUAUGAGGUUAGGAAUAUCUGUAUCUCAACACCAGAAAAAAAGUACAAUAAAAAAAAUACAGCUCAAUACCCCUCAUGAAUGUAGACACAAAAAUCUUUUUAAAAAUUUGCAAAUUGAUAACAGCAGUAUAUGAAGAAGAGUAAUACAUCACAACCCAGUUCAGGUUACUCCAGGAAUGUAAAUCUGGUUCAGCAUUCUAAAAUCAAGCAAUGUAAUCAAACUUAUCAACAGAAUAAAGAAAAAUCAUACAUACAUACACACAUACAUACAUACAGUCAAAUCAGUUGAUGCAGGAACACCAUUUAACUAAACCCAACACCCAUUUAUGACAAAAAGUUUGAGCAGGUUCACAUAGAGGGGAAAUAACCAUAGGUUGUUUAAAAAGAAUCUACAAAAAACCUGUAGCCAACAUCAUUCUUAAUGGUGUAAGAUUGAAUGCCUCCUCUGUCACAUUGGGGAAAAGGCAAGGAUGUUUCCUGUUACUAUUUUUAUUCAGUUGGCAGUUCUAGACUGUAAUGCAAGGGAAGAAAAUAAACAACAUACAUAUUAGAAAAGAAAUAAAAAGGCCUAGUAGCCUGGCAUGCUGGAAUGCGCCUGUAGUCCCAGCUACUCAGGGAGGCUGAGGCAGGAGAAUCACUUGAACCUGGGAGACGGAGGUUUCAGUGAGCCAAGACUGCACCACCACACUCCAGCCUGGGCAUCAGAGGAAGACCCUGUCUUAAAAAAAAAAAGAAAAUUAGUAAAAUUGUCUCAUUUUGCAGGUGUCAUAAUUGUGUAUGUGUUGAAAAUCCUAAGGGAGCUAUAGAAAACAUCCUAUAACUAGUAAGUGAGUUCAGCAAAGUGUCAAGUUGUAGGAUCAAUGCAUAAAUACUAACCUCAUUUUUAUUUAACAGUGAACAUAUGGGCACAGAAAUUAAAAAUGCAGUACUCUUACAGUCAUUCCUAUGAAAAUGAAUCCUUACUUAUGCUGAAACUUGGAAUUUGUUGAUAAAAGUAAUCUAAGAAUACAUAAGUAAAUAGACCCACUGUCUAUUUGGAUUGGAACAUCCUACAUUCCAGUUUUCUCAAAAUUGUUCUGUAGGAUGAAUACUAUUCCUAUCAAUAUCUCAGGUUUUUAAAAGACAUAAGUAAUCUUAUUCUAAAACAAAUGUGAAAAGUCACACACAGGCAGUAGAAUAGAUAAGCCAACUUUGACAAGGAAAGUAAGUGGGAGGAAACACUUCUUGAUGUUAAGGAAUAUUGCAUAGCUACAUUAAUCAACAUAGUAUGGAAGAAUGAUAGAGACAAAGGUUAAUAAAACAUUUUAGAGAACCCAAAAUUAGACAAAGGUACGAAAACAACUAAAUAGAGAAAAGGUAGCCUUUUCAAAUGGGGCUGGGCACUUAUGGGUGAGUAAAGAUCAUGGACUUAAUGUGAAAUGUAAAACUUUUAGAAAAAAAGAAGAAAAUAUUUAGAAUCUAGGGUUAGGAAAAUAUUUCUUAGACUUGACACCAAAAGAACAAUGUAUAAAAAAAUUUAUACACUGUACCUCAUUAAAAGUAAAAAUGUUUACUUUGCAAAAAAAAGUGAAUACAAUGAAACACGAGCUAUAGAUUGGGAGAAAAUAUCUGUAAACUGUAUAACUGACAAAGAUUUUUCAUCUAUGAUAUAUAAAAACUCAUAAAAUUUAACAGUAAAAAAUUCAAAUUAGAAAAUGAGCAAAAGACUUAAAGAGACAUUUUGGCAAAGAUUUACAGAUAGAAAAUAAUCAUGAAAAUAAAUUCAACAUUCAUUAAUCAUCAGGAAAUGCAAAUUAAAACUGAAAUAUCAGUAUGUGUAUGUCAGAACAGCUAAAAUGAAAGGAUGGUGACAGCAGUUGUUGUAAACAAUGUUAAGUGGAUCACUUGUACAUUUCUGGUGGAAAUACAAAUAAUACAGUUAUUCUGGAAAAUCUCUUGAUAGUUUAAAAAAAAAAAGAAAACUGUGUAACUAUCCUACUACCCAGUAGUUGCACCCUUGGACCUUUAUCACAGAUAAAUUUAUAUUGAUACAGAAAACCUGUGUCAAUUUCAUAAAGUCCAGAUAUACCAAAUGAGUAACUAGUCAGAGAAGCAGCUGUGUUUCUACACCAUAGCAUGCACAUGCGCAUGUGGUGUUAGGAAAAUACAGGUCUCUUUGCCCUUCUGAUGCCCUUAGUCUUGAGGUGAAGGAAGAAGCAACAGAAAGUAUCCAAUUACUGUUUGAAAUUACCUAGUUUGUUUAUGAGUGCUCUGUACAAAAUAAGAGAGAAUAAGGACAUAAAGAGUAAUGGUCUUUUAAGGCCGGAGCAUGGUAGCUCAUGUGAACCUAUAAUUCUGGUACUUUAGGAGGCCAAGGUGAGAGGAUCACAUAAAGCUAGGAAUUUGAGACCAGCCUGCACAACAUAGCCAAGAAUUUAAAGAAUUAGCCAGAUGCAGUGGCAUACAUCUGUUGUCCUUAGCUAUUCAGGAAGCUGAGGCAGGAGGAUUGCUUGGGCCCAGGAGUUCAAGGCUGCAUUGAGCCAUGGUCACAUUACUACACUCCAACCUGGGUAAAAGAACAGGAAUCUGCCUCUAAAACUAUUAUGAAUAAAUUUCAACAAAAUAAGUGCAAAAUUUGCAUUUUAAAAACUACCAAAUAUUGCUGAAACAUAUUAAAGAGACCAAAGUAUAUGGAAAGACAGUCCAUGAUCAUAGUUCAAAUUAUAUGUUGUUCAAAAGGCCGUGUACCCUAAAUUGAUCUAUAGAUUAAGUGUUACCAUUCUCAAAUCCCAGUUAAAGUCUUUGCAGAAAUUGACAAACUGCCUCUAAAAUUCAUAUGGACAUUGAAGCGCCCCAGAAUAGCCAAAACAGUUUUGAAAAAGAUGGGCAAAUUUUGAAUACUCACACUUCAUUUGAAAAUUUAAUACAGAUUUACAGUAAUCAAGACUGUAGAGCUAGCAUUGAGUUCACAGUGGAGAGUCCAUAAAUAAAGUCUGAAAUUUAUGGUUAAUUGAAUUUUGACAAUAAUGCCCAGAAAAUUGACUGAGGUAGGAGUGUGUUUGGGCGGGUGCUUUUUAGCCCCAUGCUAUUUGUGAAAAUGCAUCCAUGUUUUGUGUAGUUGUUACCCACCCAUUUUGUAAUGCCGUAUGACUUUUAUCCAUUUUACUGUUGAUGGAUAUUUGGGUUACAUCUAAGUUUUAUCUAGUAUGAAUGAUACUUUUGUGUCAUAUUUGACUAUAUCUCUUGGUGUACACAUCUACCUGUUGCAGGAGCUGCUGUGUUUUGGGUCAUGCAGUUCCGCUCUAGUAAACCCUUCACAUGAUUUUGCCAAAUGAUAUAUUAAGUUAUACUCCAGUCAGGCAGUGCCUUCACUUGCAUUUUCAGCCUUUUUUGCCAACAUUUGCAUUUUCAGCCUUUUAAACUUAGCAUUUAUGAUAAAUAUGUAGAAGUGGUUUUAAUGCAUCUUUCUACAGAGUCUAAUAACAUUGUGUACUUUUUCAUAUGCUUUCAUAUAUGCCUUUAUUUUUUGUGACAAGCCUGUCAAAAUUUCUUGGCAUUUUUCUUCUAAGAUAUCCCUUCUUCUCAUCAGUUUUUGGCCUUUAUGCAUUCUGGAUUGGAGUUCUUUGUUAAGUUAUAUAUGCGUUGCAGAUAUCUUCCUCUUCUUUCCUGCAGGCUGUGUUAAACAGAAAUUCUUAAAUUUAGUAAAGUCUGCUUUAUUAAUCUUUUCGUUCAAGAUUAGUUUUUUAGGAAAAUUUUUGUUGAUGAUAGUGGUGUUGAUUAAGCAAUCCUUCACUACCAAAAAGUUAUGAAACUAUUCUUGUAAUGUUUGAUGAGCGAUGACAAUUCAAUGAGGAAAGAUGAUUUUUUUCUUUUAGGCAUUUUAGUGUUCUUUCACAUUUAGAACUGUAAUUCUAAAUAGGUUUUGUGUUCAUAUUGAAGUCAAGAUCAGGUAUCAUCUCCCCUCAUUCCCUGACAGUACUCAGUUUUUUCAGCACUAUUGAUUUAAAGGAUGAUUAUCUCUUUAAUGAUAAUAAGGAGACUACAUAAAUAGUGUCCAUAUAUAUGUGGACCUACUUUUGGACAUCUAGUUUUGCAUUGGUGUAGCCAUCUGUCUUUGUGUAAUCCUAUCUUUUCUUGACUACUUUAAUCUAGUUUUAUUAGGUUAUAGAGUUAAUCUUCACAUUUCAUCAGAAGACUUUUGCAUUUCCUUGUAUACAUUAGGAGUACCUUGUCAAUUCCCACCAAAAAAAAAAAAAGAAGCUAAGAUUUUGACUGGGUUUGGAUAUAUAGACAAAUUUAUGAGCAUUUGACCUACUUUCAGUAAUGUACAUUCUAAUUUCUGAACUCAAUAUAUUCUAUUUAGGUUUUAUUUCUCUCAAUAUUUUAUAGUUUUUUUGUGUAGAGAUCUUACACAUUUUUGUUAGUUUUAUUCUAGUGUUAGUUUUUUUCUUAGCGUUAGAAAGAAACAGCACUAUCUGACAACAUAGCUUCCUUCAGCUUUAACAUUUGAGUUUAUUACUUGUUCACUGACAAUCCAUUUAUUUACCAUGGAUAGUUAAGUCUUUAUUAAGUUCAAAAACUAUACAUAAUUCAUGACAUUGUGUGAAGUAUUCUAAAUAUAUUUUUUUCUUUAGGCUAAUUUAGCUUUCCCAACUGAUAGAACUGUUAGUGAUAUUGAUUAAAUGUAUGAAUAGUGACUUGUAAAAGUUUUAAAUGCCGUAAAUAUCUUUCAGUUUUUCUGUGUCAUGAAAGAAUAUCUCCUUAAAUUUGCAGGAUUUUUUGUUUGCUUGCUUAUUCAGUUGUAGAUUUAUACUUUAAUGUCCAUUACGUGUUUGGUUUAUGAUGUUCUCUGUUCUGUGUUGGACAUUGGAGGACCACUGUCGUCACUUUCCUUGGCCAUGUAGUCUAAUGGGGAGGACAUUGUUUUUUAUAAUGCAGUACCUGCUAUGUUAUACGUAUUGGUUAAGGACUAACAGAGGACACAUAAAUGGCAGUAUUUAACAUUUUUUCAUACUUGAAAUUUUUUCUUUUGAGACAAGGUCUUGCUCUGCUGCCCAGGCUGAAGUACAGUGGCAUGAACAUGGCUUACUGCAGCUUUGACCUCCCUGGCUGAAGCCAUCCUCAACCCUUAGCCUCCCAAGUAGUGGGGACCGUGGGCCUACCACUGCACCCGGCUACUUUUUAAACAUUUUGUGGAAGUGGAGUUUUGCCAUGUUGCCUGGGCUGGUCUCAAACUCCUGGGCUCAAGUAAUCAUCCCACGUUGGCCUUCCAAAGUGCUGAGAUUACCAGCAUGAGCCACCAUGCCUGGCUGACAUGAAACACUUUUAAAGUCACCACUAAAUGCUCACUAAUGGUAAAAAAAUCUUAGCAUUUUAACUAAAAUGUGAAUUAAAAUAUCAAUUUUUAUAUACAAAUUAUAAGUGUUAGUUACUUCAACAAUUUUUUUUUUUUUUUUUUUUUUUGAGACAGAGUCUCGCUCUCUUGCCCAGGGUAGAGGGCAAUGUUAUCUUGGCUCAUUGCAACUUCUCCCUUCCGGGUUCAAGUGAUUCUCCUGCUUCAGCCCCCCAAGUAGCUGGGAUUACUGCCCUGUGCCACCACAUCUGGCUAAUUUUUGUCUUUUUAGUAGAGACAGUGUUUCACCAUGUUGGCCAGGCUGGUCUAGAACUCCUGACCUCAGGUGAUCCACCCGCCUUGGUCUCCCAAAGUGCAUGAGCUAUCAUGUCUUGCUGCAAAAUUUUAAUUGUAACAUUAUUUUAGUUGUUUCUAUAGCUAUUUCUUCUUUGGAAUGGAAUUGUGUUAAUUUAUAGACCUGCAUAUAGAUAAUUAAAUCUUUUGUAAAACUCUUUGCAGAAUCAAUUAAUUCUGUCCAACAUGGUGUUUUUUAGGACUUCAUAAAAAACUG
Molecule: long non-coding RNA, 12267 nt
Filed under: Homo sapiens (human)
Lineage: Eukaryota; Metazoa; Chordata; Mammalia; Primates; Hominidae
Description: HSALNT0409454
Source: RNAcentral